Molecule: long non-coding RNA, 1727 nt
Organism: Leptonychotes weddellii (Weddell seal)
Lineage: Eukaryota; Metazoa; Chordata; Mammalia; Carnivora; Phocidae
Source: RefSeq, a predicted model, not a curated record
CAUGGUUUUCAGCAACUAGUACUGAGAAGCAUUCUAACAGGUGACCAGAGAAAUUGUUGUCCUGUAGCCGUCAUAAAUGGCAUCUGCUCUUAAAGACACCCUGGCUCAGUGUCACCCCUCUGUACACUCGAGGAGACUGGACAGAUGGGUAGCAGGACAGUUCUGGGGUAGUCACGGCCACGUGCCUCUCCCUCUCCGGACUGCAUUUACCAGCUCUGAAAUUCUGUUGUCUCCUCCCCAACAGAGGAAAUAAAAAGGACUCGCCUCUCUCUCAAGCUUCAUACUCAGAGGGAACACGUCAGAGCAUUUUCCGGACUCACAGUGACCACUCCAGCGGCUGAGCCUCCCGGGCAGCCAUCUUGUGGGAUGUGCUCUGGCCUCCAGGCCACAGUUGGUUGAGGAAGGAAGGGGCAGUCAUCUGAUCCAGGCCAGAGUUCCUUUUUCUCUACACUUGGAAUUGGGAGAGAGAGGGCAAAAGAUCAACUGACUUUCCUUCUCCAGAGAGCUAGACCUGUAAAAGGAAGAAGAAAGGAGGCUGGACAAAGGAGGAAACCUGAAGGAGGCAGUUUUAAACCAGCUGUAGGACUCCUAACCCUGAGUCUGUGAAUCAUCAAAUAAUUUACACAGAUGAUAUUUGGUCUCUAGUACUACUGUAUCCAUUACCUAUCGCUGCAUAAAAAUCAUCCCAAAACUUUGUGGCUUAGAACACCAACAUCUUCACUGUCACAAGUUUCUGGGGGUCUGGAACCAGGGCACGGCUUAGCUGGAUUCCUUGGCUCAGAGUCUCUCAAGAGGCUGCACUCAAGUGUCAGCAGAAACUGUAGUCAUCUCCAAGCUCGACCAGGGGAAGAUGUACUUCCAAGCUCCCUCCUAUGGCUGUUGGCAGGCCUUCGGUCCUGGCUGACUCUUGAUGGGAGGCAUCAAUUCCUUGCCAUGCAGGCCUCUGAAGAGUGCCACUCACAACAUGGCCUCUGGCUGGUGGCUGCUCUCUGUUCCUUGCCACAUGGGCCUCUACACAGAGCAGAUCACAACAUGGCAUCCUGCUUCAUCAGAGAGAAGGCAAGAAAAGCCUGAGACAGAAUAGGAGCAAAGGGCCUGCUCUUUUGUAAUCUAAUCUCAGAAGUGACAUCCCGUCACCUUUGCUGUAUCUUGUUAGAAGCAAGUCAUUAGAUACAGCCUGCACUCCAGGUGAAGGGAUUAGACAAGGGGGUGCACAUCAGAAGGCAGGGAUCAUCAAGAAUAAUGUGAGAAGCUGAUCUCCACAACUACUUUAAAGAAGGCUCUUUUCCUUGCUGGUCUAGUCAAUCUUGGAUCUUAGCUUCAGGGUCAGCUCUCCCUGGAGCCACACCAGAAUGUGGGUGUGUCCAAUGUCACCCACCCGGAAUCCAAGACUCCUAAGUUCCUGAUCAGUCCUCUGUUUCCUUUCAUGCGUGUCUAGUUAGGACCCUAGCACACGUACAUGGAGCUCCACAGUGCCAAGCAGAAGAAUUUGACUUUAAAACACAGGCUCUAAGGUUUCUAAACAGAAGAGUGCUAUGACAGAAGUGAUUUUUAAAGAAAGAUUAGUGUGAUGACUGUAAAGUGAGUUGGAGAGGGAAAGACUGGAAAUUACAUUAAUUCCAAUUUAUUUACACUUAGCAUAUUUAUGCUCUACGGUUUUGUAGUUUGUGAUUGUAAAAACAUCCCAUGUGUUUUCAUAAGUCCUAAUAAAAUGGUCUUUGAAAGAA